GACAGCCCCGUACACAAAAAUGCACAUGCUGUGAGCUCGAUGAGUAGGGCGGGACACGUGGUAUCCUGUCUGAAUAUGGGGGGACCAUCCUCCAAGGCUAAAUACUCCUGACUGACCGAUAGUGAACCAGUACCGUGAGGGAAAGGCGAAAAGAACCCCGGCGAGGGGAGUGAAAAAGAACCUGAAACCGUGUACGUACAAGCAGUGGGAGCCUCUUUAUGGGGUGACUGCGUACCUUUUGUAUAAUGGGUCAGCGACUUAUAUUCUGUAGCAAGGUUAACCGAAUAGGGGAGCCGAAGGGAAACCGAGUCUUAACUGGGCGUUAAGUUGCAGGGUAUAGACCCGAAACCCGGUGAUCUAGCCAUGGGCAGGUUGAAGGUUGGGUAACACUAACUGGAGGACCGAACCGACUAAUGUUGAAAAAUUAGCGGAUGACUUGUGGCUGGGGGUGAAAGGCCAAUCAAACCGGGAGAUAGCUGGUUCUCCCCGAAAGCUAUUUAGGUAGCGCCUCGUGAAUUCAUCUCCGGGGGUAGAGCACUGUUUCGGCAAGGGGGUCAUCCCGACUUACCAACCCGAUGCAAACUGCGAAUACCGGAGAAUGUUAUCACGGGAGACACACGGCGGG
This 625-nucleotide ribosomal RNA is filed under the name Escherichia coli. RNAcentral's name for it is "bacterial LSU rRNA". It matches the Rfam family "Bacterial large subunit ribosomal RNA", at positions 366 to 995 of the family's 2925-position model. The record is from RNAcentral. Lineage: Bacteria; Pseudomonadati; Pseudomonadota; Gammaproteobacteria; Enterobacterales; Enterobacteriaceae.